CAUGGACGCCGGCGUCACGUCAUUCCGGUCAAUACUCGACAAACCCCUUACUCAGCUCACGGAAGAAGACAUUUCCCAGCUCACCCGCGAAGAUUGCCGCAAAUACCUCAAAGAAAAAGGAAUGCGGAGACCUUCUUGGAACAAAUCACAAGCGAUCCAGCAAGUAAUCUCCCUCAAAGCACUCCUUGAAACUAGUGAAGAUUCCGGCGCCGGUGCUCUCCGGAAAAUCUUAGUUUCCAAACCACCGGCUACUUCAAAUUCGGUUGAUUCAAUUAAGGAACCCAGUGAUAGAAAUAACAGUGCAAUUUCUGGGUCUUUAGAUGAGAUAGCUCCGUGCCGGCAGAAUGAUUCUCCGAAAUCCACUCCUCCAGGACAGUUGGAUUGCCAAGCGGAAGAGGCAGAUGAUCAAGCUAUUGCUUCCAGAAGUCCUGGUGCAACAGAUGGAUUAGUCGGGCAAUUGACAAUUUUCUAUUGCGGAAAGGUGAAUGUGUAUGAUGGAGUCCCAUCUGAUAAGGCCCAGGCAAUCAUGCAUCUUGCAGCAAGUCCAAUUCAGUCACCUCUGGAUGAUCCAAUUCAUAGACCUGCAUUUUCAUUUCCAUGUCAUUUUCAGACCCCCAGUGAUAAACAUGGCCUUCUUUCUUCUAAUGCUGCAAUCGCUCAGACCACUCUAACAGAGAAGACAACAGAAUAUUCUCAUCAGUGUAGGGAGAAAGCCAACAUGACUCAUGACCCUGAGGUUCAAGCAAACCGAAAAAUGUUGUUGAAGAAAUAUCUGGAGAAGAAAAAAGAUAGAUUUAAGGCCAGGAAAAAUGCGGGUCCUACUUCUUCUGGCUUGGAAACAUAUUUGAACCAUCAUAUGAGGAUGCAUACCUCAAAUGGACAAUCAACCAGGAGCAGCACAAGCUCCCCGCCCC
This 914-nucleotide unclassified non-coding RNA is filed under the name Hevea brasiliensis (rubber tree). Lineage: Eukaryota; Viridiplantae; Streptophyta; Magnoliopsida; Malpighiales; Euphorbiaceae. The record is from RNAcentral.